Sorex araneus (European shrew) is the source of this 164-nucleotide small nuclear RNA. Its record names the gene U1. It matches the Rfam family "U1 spliceosomal RNA". From Rfam's summary of the family: U1 is a small nuclear RNA (snRNA) component of the spliceosome (involved in pre-mRNA splicing). Its 5' end forms complementary base pairs with the 5' splice junction, thus defining the 5' donor site of an intron. The record is from Ensembl. NCBI's taxonomy places the organism in Eukaryota, Metazoa, Chordata, Mammalia, Eulipotyphla, Soricidae.
AUACUUCCUUGGCAGGGGAGAUACCAUGGCCACGAAGGUGGUUUUCCCAGGGUGAGGCUUAUCCAUUGCACUCUGGUUGUGCUGAGCCCUGAGAUUUCCCCAAAUGUUGAAAACUCGACUGCAUAACUUGUGAUAUUGGGGGACUGCAUUCACGUGCUCCCCUG